AACGAACGCUGGCGGCAGGCCUAACACAUGCAAGUCGAACGCCGUAGCAAUACGGAGUGGCAGACGGGUGAGUAACACGUGGGAACGUACCCUUCGGUUCGGGAGUAACUCAGGGAAACGUUAGAGCUAAUACCGGAUACGUCCGAGAGGAGAAAGAUUUAUUGCCGAGGGAUCGGCCCGCGUCUGAUUAGCUUGUUGGUGAGGUAACGGCUCACCAAGGCGACGAUCAGUAGCUGGUCUGAGAGGAUGAUCAGCCACAUUGGGAC
Molecule: ribosomal RNA, 266 nt
Filed under: uncultured bacterium
Lineage: Bacteria
Description: partial 16S ribosomal RNA
Rfam family: Bacterial small subunit ribosomal RNA
Source: RNAcentral